Hyla sarda is the source of this 183-nucleotide small nuclear RNA. RefSeq annotates it as U2 spliceosomal RNA. NCBI's taxonomy places the organism in Eukaryota, Metazoa, Chordata, Amphibia, Anura, Hylidae. The transcript has a single exon. The record is from RefSeq and is a predicted model, not a curated record.
AAUCUUUCUCAGCCUUUUGGCUUAGGUCAAGUGUAGUAUCUGUUCUCAUCAGUGGCUAAGGCAGGGUAGCUGAGACAAAAUGGAUCUACACAUGGAGUGGAAGCUUUAGGUGUACAGAGGCUUGUCUGACAGCUACCUCAAGGCAACCUGACCCUUUGGAUCUGGUCAUUGGGUGCAGGUAGG